This 250-nucleotide long non-coding RNA is filed under the name Homo sapiens (human). Its description in RNAcentral is "long non-coding RNA NONHSAT083302.2". Lineage: Eukaryota; Metazoa; Chordata; Mammalia; Primates; Hominidae. The record is from RNAcentral.
UGGACCAGAAGAUCGUCCUGGAGCUGGACCGGAAGGUGGCUGACCAGCAGAGCACACUGGAGAAGGCGGGGGUGGCUGGCUUCUACGUGACCACCAACCCACAGAGCUGAUGCUGCAGAUGAACCUGCUGGAACUCAUCCGGAAGCUGCAGCAGAGGGGCUGCUGGGCAGGGAAGGCAGCCCUGGGGCUAGGAGGUCCCUGGCAGUUGCCUGCUGCCCAGUGUGACCAGAAAGGCAGCCCUGUCCCACCA